Molecule: long non-coding RNA, 738 nt
Organism: Sinocyclocheilus rhinocerous
Lineage: Eukaryota; Metazoa; Chordata; Actinopteri; Cypriniformes; Cyprinidae
Exons: 6
Source: RefSeq, a predicted model, not a curated record
UGAGCUUCUGCUACUGUGUACACAUGGGCUACUUGUUCAUAAAUUAAACGUUUACAGAUACAGUCAUGGACGCAGCGUUUCUUCUACCCAGAAUGCUGCAGUGAGAGGAAGUUGUUUCUGCUUACGCUGAAGCUCAGGGCAGUCCACUGACUCGAUCAGUAUAACAGCGCAGGCAGAGGACGAGGAGCGCAGACGGGAGAGAACAGACGGCGGGGACGGGCGAAGAUGGCGAUGCGGCGCGCUCCGAGUGAGAAGAGCUCAUUAAAACGAAGAAGAUUAAGGAAGAGAAUGGCGUCGACCCGUUCAGACGAAAGAGCAGAUCGCGACGGUGGGAACAUGGAAUCAGAACAACUAGAUGAAAGAUGAUGGCGUUUCGUUCAGUCUCAUAUCAUGUAAAUGUUCCUGAUCUGCCAAACGUCAAAGAAAGAUGAGGAAAAGGAUUUUCGCUGUGAUGUUUGCCUGAAGAGGAAGCUUCAGCAAAGUUUCAAGGAAGGGAAGACUACUCUAACCAAUUCUGGACAGUCAAGUGGAGACUACUGCUUAAUGAGGAAGAUGGCGGCUCAUGUUUUGCUUUUGGAUUUGGAAAGAGACAUUUUAUUUGUUUCUGAUUUGCUAUGAUAUUUUAAUUCAUUCGCUAAUGUGCUCAACAAUUGUAUGUAUUUUCUCAUAUUUUACUGCAUUGUUGCUUUGAUGAAAUGCCUGUAUUUCAAAUUUUAAAAAUGCUUACUUGCCUUUUUU